GACGGCGCCGCCGGUCGUCGACGCAUAUUAUCCGUACCGUGUUUCGUGUUGCUAUCGUGUGCGCGUUCCCGGGUCUCUCUUCGCUAAGGAAUUACUAACCGACCUGAUCACGUUCGACUCACUCGAGCCUCGUCCAAGCGAAUUCUCAUCGAUCGGGAGCCGCUUACCACAGCUCCCUUUUUCUCGCGCGCAUCUUCAAGAUGCCCGCCAUCUUGGACACACUGUACACGCAAAUUGAAAUGCGUCUCUUGCCCAUUGGGUCGCGUUCUUUACGCGAUAGCGAGGGUUAUCGAUAAUAAUCGAUAUGUCGUCGGUAUUUCGCCGUCUUCACCAUGAGAUCUACGACUCGAGCGAAAAAUGGGAAAUUAUAAAUAAAUGAUACUGUAAGAAAAGCAGAUAAAUAUUCCUCUGUGUUUUGUUCUUAUUUAGUUUUACUGUAUCUGUUGUAUAAAACUGUUACAUUAUGUAUAAAGCGAAUAUUGCAAAUAUAAACGAAAAUAAAGUUAAAUGCAAA
This is a long non-coding RNA of Bombus impatiens (common eastern bumble bee), 514 nucleotides long. RefSeq lists it as uncharacterized. NCBI's taxonomy places the organism in Eukaryota, Metazoa, Arthropoda, Insecta, Hymenoptera, Apidae. The transcript is spliced from 2 exons. The record is from RefSeq and is a predicted model, not a curated record.